UUAAUUUUCAAACAUGGAUUAACUUCUUAUUCAUUCAUUUACUUUUGUGAUGUAAUUGGAUCAAAUUUUUUGUAUAUAAUCCCAUGUGAAGCAAACACAUGAAUUUAGCUCUAUACAUUUCAGGCCUGGUUCUCAUUUCUAUGUAUACAACUUGGAUAGUUUUAUGAUUAAUAUGCUCGAUAUGAUACCAUGAUUUGAUAUUGCGUUUGUUAAGUGUUUAAUAAAUGUUAUCCAAACUAAUUGCCUCUAGUUGGUCAUGAUGUAAUUCGAUAUUCAUAAGUUGUUUUUGAUAUCAAUAAUCAAAUUUGAGUCGAUAUGUGCAAGAGAUCGCUGUGAAUAUAUGCGUAACAGGUCACUGUGAAAUGUAAUAAGUGUGAGUGAAGUAUGUUUGAAUUUAUAACUCAAAUCCAAUGAUUUUAAUUGCUAAUUUAAGAAUGGAAUGGUACUGUUUAUGUCAAGUGUUCAUUUUCUUCGUAUAUGUGUACAACUUUAAUAACAUGUCUUAAUGCUAUGAAGUAUUAUACUAUUAUUCCACCAAGUCCAAGAGUAAUUCCUUUUCCUUAGAAUUUUCAAUAGCUUCCCGGGGGCGAAGAAGGCUUAUUAAUAUACAGAUUUUGUUAAGUAUCAGCUCAAUAGAAGUAGUCAGGUGUUAAGUAAAUUCCUUGUCAUCAUGUACAUACGGGGUUGUUCCAAAUUGUGCAACAUAGGACUAAACAGAACUUUUCCUUUGAGCUAAUUACCUUCAAGCGCAAGGUUCUCUUAUUUGCCAGAAGAAAAUAAUAAGAGUUCCUCGAUGAAAAAUUCCCAUGUCAUAAUCGAUUGCUCCACUCGUAAUGUUUGAAACCAAAUGUUCAAUCACUCUACAAUGUUGCAUAUAUAGGUUAAGCUGAGCCCAAAUGAUGUCAGUAUUAAUUAUGACACCCACAAGCGAAACACUAAUCAGAUUACAGGAAACCUUCCUAUUUCGGGGGUGGUGUAGGCAUACAGUGACUUAGAUCAGAUGAGUCAAUUUUGAACAUGAAAACAAAUAAGAUGGUAUUUUGUAGGCACUGGAUGUACGAUUAUGAAGUUUCACUUCCCUAACUCCACUGUUUGAUAUGUUUUUAAUCCAAAUAUCUAUAUCUGAAUAGAGAUGAAGUGGCAGAUCAUUAGGAUUGCAAAGAAUAAACUUCAAUAUGAGACCUCCAAGAGAUAAAAGAAUACUGCUGCCGGUUAUUGAAAAUUCAUAUAGUUUAGUUUCUCUACUUCUGAAAGGAAACCUCUGAGAAAACCGGUUGAAGAAAAGGUCAUCAAAAACUAGGUGUGAGUGUAUUUCCCAUUUACCCCUUCAUGUUUUUGAGAGAAUCCUCAUUCUUGCUACACAGUCAACCGGCAAUCACUUUUGAAUUAGGUCUAGUAAGUCACUGGGCAUGUCACUUUUGAAUUAGACCUUAUACCAAAGCGAUUGCCGGUUGACUGUGUAGCGAGAAUGUACAUUCUCUCAAAAACAUGGAGGGGUAAAUGGGAAAUGCACCCACACCUAGUUUUUGAUGACCUUUUUCUUCAACCGGCUUUCUCAGAGGUUUCCUUCCAGAAGUAGAGAAACCAAACUAUAUGAAUUUUGAAGAACCGUCAGCAGUAGUCUUUUAUCUCGUAGUGGUCUCAUAUUGAAGUUUUUUCUUUGCAUUCCUCAUGAUUUGUUUCUUCAUCUCUAUUUAGAUAUAGAUAUUUGGAUUAAAAACAUAACAAACAAUGGAGUUAAGGAAGUGCAACUUCAUAAUCGUACAUUGAGUGCCCACAAAAUACCAUCGUAUUUGUUUUCCUGUUCAGAGUUGACUCGUCUGAUUCUAAGUUGUAUGCUCACACCACCCCGGAAAUUGAAGACUUCCGUAAUCUGAUUACUGUUUUGAUUGUGGGUGUCAUAAUUACAACUGACAUAUCAUUUGGGGCUCAACUUACUGACCUACAUUUGCAAAGUUGCAUUGGGAUUGAACAUUUGAGAAUGGAAAGGCAUUUGUUUAUGUCAAGUGUUCAUUUUCUUCGUAUUUGUGUACAACUUUAAUAACAUGUCUUAAUGCUAUCAAGUAUUAUACUAUUAUUCCACCAAGUACAAGAGUAAUUCCUUUUCCUUAGAAUUUUCGAUGGCUUCCCGGGGGCGUAGAAGGCUUAUUAAUAUACAUAUUUUGUUAAGUAUCAGCUCAAUAGAAGUAGUCAGGUGUUAAGUAGAUUCCUUGUCAUCAUGUACAUACGGGGUUGUUCCAAAUUGUGCAACAUAGGACUCAAAAAAACUUUUUCUUUGAGCUAAUUACCUUCACGCGCAAGGUUCUCUUAUUUGCCAGAAGAAAAUGAUAAGAGUUCCUCGAUGAAAAAUUCCCAUGUCAUAAUCGAUUGCUCCACUCGUAAGGUUUGAAACCAAAUGUUCAAUCACACUACAAAGUUGCAUAUAUAGGUUAGUAAGUUGAGCCCAAAUGAUGUCAGUAUUAAUUAUGACACCCAUAUGCGAAACACUAAUCAGAUUAUAGGAAACCUUCAUAUUUCGGGGGUGGUGUAGGCAUACAGUGACUUAGAUCAGAUGAGUCAAUUUUGAACAUGAAAACAAAUAAGAUGGUAUUUUGUAGGCACUGGAUGUACGAUUAUGAAGUUUCACUUCCCUAACUCCACUGUUUGAUAUGUUUUUAAUCCAAAUAUCUAUAUCUGAAUAGAGAUGAAGUGGCAGAUCAUUAGGAUUGCAAAGAAUAAACUUCAAUAUGAGACCUACAAGAGAUAAAAGAAUACUGCUGCCGGUUAUUGAAAAUUCAUAUAGUUUGGUUUCUCUACUUCUGAAAGGAAGCCUCUGAGAAAGCCGGUCGAAGAAAAGGUCAUCAAAAACUAGGUGUGAGUGUAUUUCCCAUUUACCCUUCAUGUUUUUGAGAGAAUGCUCAUUCUUGCUACACAGUCAACCAGCAAUCACUUUUGAAUUAGGUCUAGUAAGUCACUGGGCAUGUCACUUUUGAAUUAGACAUUAUACCAAAGCGAUUGCCGGUUGACUGUGUAGCAAGAAUGUGCAUUCUCUCAAAAACAUGGAGGGGUAAAUGGGAAAUGCACCCACACCUAGUUUUGAUGACCUUUUCUUCAACCGGCUUUCUCAGAGGUUUCCUUCCAGAAGUAGAGAAACUAAACUAUAUGAAUUUUCAAGAACCGUCAGCAUUAGUCUUUUAUCUCGUAGUGGUCUCAUAUUGAAGUUUGCUCUUUGCAUUCCUCAUGAUUUGUUUCUUCAUCUCUAUUCAGAUAUAGAUAUUUGGAUUAAAAACGUAUCAAACGGUGGAGUUAGGGAAGUGAAACUUCAUAAUCGUACAUCCAGUGCCUACAAAAUACCAUCUUAUUUGUUUUCAUGUUCAGAAUUGACUCAUUUGAUUCUAAGUUGUUGUAUGCUCACACCACCCCGGAAAUUUGAAGACUUCCGUAAUCUGAUUACUGUUUUGCUUUUGGGUGUCAUAAUUACAAUUGACAUAUCAUUUGGGGCUCAACUUACUGACCUACAUUUGCAACGUUGCAUUGGGUUUGAACAUUUGGGUUGUCAAUAUAAAUAUUAUAUCAAUCUCACUUUUCUGAGUAUCACCCAUUGUGGGGAAAUUGAUUGGCUAUGGUUUAGAUGCACCC
Molecule: long non-coding RNA, 3618 nt
Filed under: Daucus carota (carrot)
Lineage: Eukaryota; Viridiplantae; Streptophyta; Magnoliopsida; Apiales; Apiaceae
Description: long non-coding RNA (DCAR_LNC002562)
Source: RNAcentral